UACAGAGGGUGCAAACGUUGCUCGGAAUUAUUGGGCGUAAAGCGUGCGUAGACGGUUAUUUAAGUCAGGUGUGAAAGCCCCGGGCUCAACCUGGGAAUUGCAUUUGAGACUGAAUAGCUAGGGUGCGGAAGAGGGAAGCGGAAUUUCCGGUGUAGCGGUGAAAUGCGUAGAUAUCGGAAGGAACACCAGUGGCGAAAGCGGCUUCCUGGUCCAGCACCGACGUUCAGGCACGAAAGCGUGGGGAGCAAACAGG
RNAcentral lists this ribosomal RNA (253 nucleotides) under uncultured bacterium. Its description in RNAcentral is "partial 16S ribosomal RNA". It matches the Rfam family "Bacterial small subunit ribosomal RNA", at positions 524 to 776 of the family's 1533-position model. The record is from RNAcentral.